GGCCUUUCUCAGCCUUUUGGCUACGAUCAGUCUGUUCUUAUCAGUUUAAUAUCUGAUACGUGGGCUAUAUGUCCACUUCGGCCCCUUGCGCGUCGCCCAGCCGUUGCACUGCUGGCCGGGCCUGGCGCGCCCCAA
This 135-nucleotide small nuclear RNA is filed under the name Dichanthelium oligosanthes. Its description in RNAcentral is "U2 spliceosomal RNA". It matches the Rfam family "U2 spliceosomal RNA". From Rfam's summary of the family: U2 is a small nuclear RNA (snRNA) component of the spliceosome (involved in pre-mRNA splicing). Lineage: Eukaryota; Viridiplantae; Streptophyta; Magnoliopsida; Poales; Poaceae. The record is from Rfam by way of RNAcentral.